CUGGAUGAUACAGAUAAAUUUCAUUUAUUUCUGAUGAAAAGACCAGAGCUGAACAAAAAUUUUCACCUCCAAAUACAGAAACAUCAAAAGAAAAGCCAAGAUUAUCUAUAGUUCACCUGUUGGGAAGAGCUUUCUGCUACCAAGAAAAUGGACCAUCCUAACAGCCAGCACGUGUUUAUUCAUUAUUCACUGCAAAAAUAAGAAAUCAUCGUAUUUGUUGAUAUUGACAUUUGGCUAUGCUUUUCAAGGUAACCAGCAUGCAAGGGAUGAAGAUGACUAAGAGUUUCAAAGACAACACAUGUGGCCUGCCACAUAAUUACUUUAUUUCUAUAAUCAGUGCAUCUCUAAAUUUUUGAGAUCUAGAUAGAGGAGGCUUGGAAGUAGAAAGAAAUACAGCUCUUCAACUAACUUUAUAUUUACUUUUUAAAAUCUGCAAAGGAUAAUACCUGUACUUUAGCAAUGUCCACUUCUGAUGCCCAGGGUGGGUGAUAAGGGUGAUUCAGCAUAGGAAAAGGCAGAGCACAAGUUUGAGACAGGCCCAAGCAAAAUAGAGUGACGUAUAUAGGCUCUCAGUUAUGAACUGUGUAUGUGUCAUUCAAGCAUCAGCCCAGAUGUUCACAGAAGCUUACCAGCAGAAGACAAGUGGAUGGAGGAUGUGCUGUUCCCAGAUGGAUGGCAAACUCACCCAAUGGCCCAAGUCAAAGUGUCCACUAUCAAAGCAAGGGAAUAUUGAAGAAUUCUGCCCAGGAUAACUUUUGAGGGCCUUAUCUAAAGUAAAGAAAUGCUUCUAAGUGCUGUAAUGGGAUGGGACUGACCAGUUUAAUGAAGGCAAACUCCAGGCCUAUAUGAGUUGCUCCUGCCAGAAGGUGUCAAACAACUAUCGAAUACCGUGAAAUCCUUGAAAUUCAACAUGGUGAAAAGAAAUCAACUAUUUUCCCAUGACUUAGUACAGGAGCAGCAGAAGAACCAAUUCCAGAAGGAAGAAUAAGUGAUAUUCCAAAGUCCCCCUCACCAUAUUGUACCCUUGUCAAAGAGCAAAAAUGAGCAAGUGUCCAACCUCAAGGACCAGGAGGACAGCAUUCCUUCUGGGGACCUGGUCCAGGAACAGCAGAAGAACCAAUUCCAGAACCAAAAACAAGUGAUAUUCCAAAGUCCCCCUCACCAUAUUGUAUCCUUGUCAAAGAGCAACAAUGAGCAAGUGUCCUACACCUCGAGGACCAGGAGGACAGCAUUGCUUCUGGGGACUUGGUCCAGGAGCAGCAGAAGAACCAAUUCCAGAAGCAAAAACAACUGAUAUUCCGAAGGCCCCUCACCACAUUGUACCCUUGUCAAAGAGCAACAAUGAACAAUUGUCCAACCUCGAGGACCAAGAGGACAGCAUUCCUUCUAGGGACUUGGUCC
Molecule: long non-coding RNA, 1401 nt
Organism: Sarcophilus harrisii (Tasmanian devil)
Lineage: Eukaryota; Metazoa; Chordata; Mammalia; Dasyuromorphia; Dasyuridae
Exons: 6
Source: RefSeq, a predicted model, not a curated record